AUGGCUGGAAUAUAUCUGGCCAAAAGCUGUCUGCACAUCACUCUUCUGCCCCUGCAGCACAGUACAGCAGCUGCUCACCUCACGUGGCAGCUCUGCACUUUCCCUGAGGCAAUGAAAAAUACUCAGAAGAAAAGAAGGCAGCUUUACCAGCGGAAGGAAGAGCUGAGGAGUUGCUCUGGGCACAGCCUGGAUCCCACUGUGAAUGCAGCAGAGAUAGAGCAGCAGACAAGAAUCACUCCACUUGUUUGCACUAGUGCAGCCACAGCAAAGAUAAAAGUCCCAGUGUUACAGCUUUUACCCAGGUUGCUGAAUUGUCGGCAUAUUUGGAAGAGAUGGAUGUCUCCAGUGACAUAUGGAUGUGCUGCACACAUUGCCUGUGCCCUGUGUAAGGCUGAGUGCUCAGAAGAAGCCCAGACAGCUUCCUUGCCCUGCCUGGCUCAGGAAACGUGGACACAGAGCCAUGAGGAAUGA
This 471-nucleotide long non-coding RNA is filed under the name Cyanistes caeruleus (blue tit). RNAcentral's name for it is "lncRNA (ENSCCEG00000013059.1)". The record is from RNAcentral. Lineage: Eukaryota; Metazoa; Chordata; Aves; Passeriformes; Paridae.